This 399-nucleotide ribosomal RNA is filed under the name uncultured bacterium. Its description in RNAcentral is "bacterial SSU rRNA". It matches the Rfam family "Bacterial small subunit ribosomal RNA", at positions 355 to 771 of the family's 1533-position model. The record is from RNAcentral.
UCGGGAAUUUUGGGCAAUGGGCGAAAGCCUGACCCAGCAACGCCGCGUGAAGGAUGAAGUAUUUCGGUAUGUAAACUUCGAAAGAAUAGGAAGAAUAAAUGACGGUACUAUUUAUAAGCUCCGGCUAACUACGUGCCAGCAGCCGCGGUAAUACGUAGGGAGCAAGCGUUGUUCGGAUUUACUGGGCGUAAAGGGCGCGUAGGCGGCGCGGUAAGUCACUUGUGAAAUCUCUGAGCUUAACUCAGAACGGCCAAGUGAUACUGCAGAGCUAGGGUGCAGAAAGGGCAAUCGGAAUUCUUGGUGUAGCGGUGAAAUGCGUAGAUAUCAAGGGGAACACCUGAGGCGAAGGCGGGUUGCUAGGCUGACACUUACGCUGAGGCGCGAAAGCCAGGGGAGCAA